UACGUAGGGAGCAAGCGUUAUCCGGAUUUACUGGGUGUAAAACGCGUGUAGGCGGCAAUAUAAGUCAGAUGUUAAAGCUUUCGGCUUAACCGAAACCCGCAUUUGAUACUGUAUUGCUUGAGUGUUGGAGAGGAAAGCGGAACUCAUGGUGUAGCGGUGAAAUGCGUAGAUAUCAUGAGGAACACCGGUGGCGAAGGCGGCUUUCUGGACAACUACUGACGCUGAGACGCGAAAGCGUGGGGAGC
RNAcentral lists this ribosomal RNA (245 nucleotides) under uncultured bacterium. RNAcentral describes it as "partial 16S ribosomal RNA". It matches the Rfam family "Bacterial small subunit ribosomal RNA", at positions 524 to 769 of the family's 1533-position model. The record is from RNAcentral.